UCCCCCGUUAAUCGGAAUUCGUCCCCGAAUUCCAAAGCCCACAUCUUUCAGACCAAUCGUUCGUUACCAAAAUGGAUUCACACAUUCACACAACAAUCAAGGGAGGCAUACAUGACACGAUAACUCUACUGGAAUCUUUAAAACCAACGAAGGAAUGUCAUAAAUAAUAAAAGGAGUAGGACUACAAUAGUUUGUAAAAGAAAACCCAGCACAUCUGCACAAUACAGAAUGCCGUAAAUAAGGGAAGGAACACCAACUCCAAUAACCAAUAAAUGAAAUAAAACCAAUAGCGAAACACGUGUCCUACUCCUACGAAUCGUCUCUAGGAUCUCGUCUAGCCACAUUGACAUGGCGAGGGGCAGCGGGACUCGGAUCCCAGGUCUUCAUCGCCCUCUGCGACGCGGUCCUCCUCGGCCUCCGCCUCCUUUCCCGCCAACCACUCCUCCGCGUGCAGUGCUUGGUUAGCCAUCCUUCUCACCAGUGCAAAUUCCAGAGGCUCCAGGACUCCCACGAGUUCUUCACGAAUAUCCCCACGUAGCCCGGCCCUAAACAGAUGACACCACUCCUCAGCUGGCUUCGGUUGACACAUCUUGGCCGUAUCCAAGAACUCCUCCAGGUAAUCUCUCACCUUGCGUGGCUUCUGAACCAUCUGGACCAGUACGUCACAAUCACAUGUUACUGUAGGUGGUUUUCGCGGACGCCCCCGCUUUCCCUUAGCGGGUGUCCCUACCGGCACCUCAUGGCCAUCGACGUCCCCACCCGGGUUUCCUCCUUCCAUGCUCGAGAGAGCGGCCACAUCGGCUGCAAUCUUCUCUUCUGCCUCCAUGGCGAAGCCUGCCAUCCGCCUCACUAACGCGAACUCCAAGGGCUCCAAAACACCCCUCAACUGCGCCUGGAGCUCCUGGCGUAGCCCGUUCUUAUACCAUAUGCACCACGUCUCUGCAUUCUUCGGUUUGCACAGCUUGGCUUGGUUGAUGAAGUCCUCCGUGUAUCCAGCGACUGAUCGGUCCUCCUGAGCAUUCUUGCUCAGCACUCCACACUGGCACUUCCCGGUGAACGCCCUUGGGGGUCCCCCUGCUGCACUUGGCGUCUUGCAGGGACGGCCACGCUUCCUCGGGGGUCCCUCUUCGGUUGCAAGCUGGAACCUCGCAUUGCCCUGCAGUAGGCGUGUCUCCAUAGCCAUCCUCUGGAAAUGAGGCAUCAACACCUUAUGCCUCACAGUCUGCUCGUGCGGGUACCUGAAUGGGAACUCCCUGUACUGUUCUUCAGGAUCCGGAAACAUGGGUAGCACCAAGUUACCCUCCCUGUCAUAGUGACGCCUUUGGGCAUACUCCCUGGUGUUCCUCCGUCCGUAGUGCAUACGCGGCAUCCUCCACUCGUAAUGGUCAAGCGAAAACAUCCUGCAAUAAAAUUUCAAUCAGAACCAUAAUAGAAGUAUGGAUAUAGUGGGAUUUUCAAUUAAUUUUUCACAAUCCGAAAAUACUUAGUAAUAUUGCAAUUUUUUUUUUUUUUUUUUUUUUUUUUUUUUUUUUCCGAAAACGAAAUAUAAAUUUUUUUUUUUUUUUUUUUUUAAAACGUCGGAAAUGCCGAUCCCUUAGGCAGAACUAAGGGAUCUUAACCCGCUCUGAUACCAAUUGUAACAGCCCGAUCCCCCGGCGUCCGACCGGUUAUCGAAGGGGCGUUAUGGACACGUGUCUACUCAUUUAGACAACCCUACGUGUCCCGUUACUGGUCCCGAGAGACGAGCGCAUAACCUUCUUUGAAAAACGUCACACCCACAUCCAUAUACUUCUACUUACAGUCCUGCGCACAGGGAAAAUGGAAAUGGAGGGGUGAGCAACAAGUUACUCAGUGAAGUGGUUCUAGACCAGCCUGCCCGCAUGACACUCUAUACUACUCUAUGCGGGAACUAGGACUGACUAGCCACUACAAUCAGUUAAUGCAUUUUUAUCAUUUCCUAUCGUCAUCUGUAAUUUCCACAUUCACUUCCAUUCAUUUCUAACAACCUAGCGAUCAAUCAAUACAAUGAUCUCACUCAUUGCCACACACGUCAAACCCUAGACUUAACCGACUCAUCUUACCAGUCCGACUCGAUCCUAUGACACCUUUAACUUCCCGUUACCCGACCAUGAGCUAAAACCCUACAAUGCACAUCUUUUCAUCUUUUCAUCUUUUCCUCUUUUCCUCUUUUCCUCUUUUCCUCAGUGGGUAGCCCCCCACUAGGCUUCUACCCCAUAUUCAUGUGGAUUCGCCACAUCUCCUAUGGGUGCUUCCAUAUUCAUGUGGAUUCGCCACAUCUCCUAUGGAUACCUAGCGUGGACUACUUACCCCACCUACAAACCUUAGACUCUCUAUAUGCUUUCCCACCCAUGCUUAACCUUAACAUCGUUCUUUCAUACUUUUACUUAUCCUUUCACUUCCUUAUCGUCUUCACUUAAUCCCUCCCAUUCCCAAUUACUUUCCCUUUUCAUUCAUACUUGUACUUGGACUCAAUCACUAGACGCCACCCGUUAUCGGUGUCACACACAAUACACAUCGCAUUCAAGUUCUACUUCAAUAACAUUAUCAAUCAUUGCUCAUCUAUCAUCCUAGCAUCAUUUCUCUCUAGCAUCCUAACUUCAAUCACAACCACACAUGGGACUACACAUUCAAACAUACAAGCAUCACUCAUCAACCAAUCAACAUCACCACAACAUAGAUCAGUUCAUCAAGUCCCAUUUAUCAGUAUGAGGGUUCUUAUGCAUCAUGAUCCAUUCAUCUAUCAUCCUAGCAAUACCAUGUCCUAUCAACCUAACUCCCAAUCAGGGUCUAAUCAAACCUAACUCCAACAUAUAGGAGUAUACAGAACCAUGAAAGAAGGUUGGGUUCGAAACACUCCACCUUAGUCUUAGAUCUGGAUCUGGAAACGAGGAUUGAGAAGGUUGAGAUCUGGUCAGCACCACCACUUCACGGCGCCGGCGAGAGGGAGAGAGAGAGAGAGCGUGCGACGGCGAGGAGAGAGAGAGAGAGCGACGCGCGGGAGAGAGAGAGGAGAGAGAGAGACGGCGCAGGAGAGAAGGAGAGAGAGCUCGACGGCUAGGGUUUUCGACCUCCGGGAAUUCUCUGCAGAGCUUCGCUUCAGAUUUGUGAUGAGGCAAAAAGGGAGACUGCAUCUCUUUUUAUAGUAAAGGGAAGGGGAAGCCCUAGGGUUUUGCUAAAUGGGCCGUAGAGAAGCCCAUAUUCUUUGGGAAAUUUUUAUGGGCCAGGAACCGGGCCGUUACAAUCCUCCCCCGUUAAUCGGAAUUCGUCCCCGAAUUCCAAAGCCCACAUCUUUCAGACCAAUCGUUCGUUACCAAAAUGGAUUCACACAUUCACACAACAAUCAAGGGAGGCAUACAUGACACGAUAACUCUACUGGAAUCUUUAAAACCAACGAAGGAAUGUCAUAAAUAAUAAAAGGAGUAGGACUACAAUAGUUUGUAAAAGAAAACCCAGCACCUCUGCACAAUACAGAAUGCCGUAAAUAAGGGAAGGAACACCAACUCCAAUAACCAAUAAAUGAAAUAAAACCAAUAGCGAAACACGUGUCCUACUCCUACGAAUCGUCUCUAGGAUCUCGUCUAGCCACAUUGACAUGGCGAGGGGCAGCGGGACUCGGAUCCCAGGUCUUCAUCGCCCUCUGCGACGCGGUCCUCCUCGGCCUCCGCCUCCUUUCCCGCCAACCACUCCUCCGCGUGCAGUGCUUGGUUAGCCAUCCUUCUCACCAGUGCAAAUUCCAGAGGCUCCAGGACUCCCACGAGUUCUUCACGAAUAUCCCCACGUAGCCCGGCCCUAAACAGAUGACACCACUCCUCAGCUGGCUUCGGUUGACACAUCUUGGCCGUAUCCAAGAACUCCUCCAGGUAAUCUCUCACCUUGCGUGGCUUCUGAACCAUCUGGACCAGUACGUCACAAUCACAUGUUACUGUAGGUGGUUUUCGCGGACGCCCCCGCUUUCCCUUAGCGGGUGUCCCUACCGGCACCUCAUGGCCAUCGACGUCCCCACCCGGGUUUCCUCCUUCCAUGCUCGAGAGAGCGGCCACAUCGGCUGCAAUCUUCUCUUCUGCCUCCAUGGCGAAGCCUGCCAUCCGCCUCACUAACGCGAACUCCAAGGGCUCCAAAACACCCCUCAACUGCGCCUGGAGCUCCUGGCGUAGCCCGUUCUUAUACCAUAUGCACCACGUCUCUGCAUUCUUCGGUUUGCACAGCUUGGCUUGGUUGAUGAAGUCCUCCGUGUAUCCAGCGACUGAUCGGUCCUCCUGAGCAUUCUUGCUCAGCACUCCACACUGGCACUUCCCGGUGAACGCCCUUGGGGGUCCCCCUGCUGCACUUGGCGUCUUGCAGGGACGGCCACGCUUCCUCGGGGGUCCCUCUUCGGUUGCAAGC
Molecule: long non-coding RNA, 4404 nt
Filed under: Brassica rapa (field mustard)
Lineage: Eukaryota; Viridiplantae; Streptophyta; Magnoliopsida; Brassicales; Brassicaceae
Description: long non-coding RNA (BRAP_LNC003596)
Source: RNAcentral